GGUAACGUAGCUCAGCAGUAGAGUGCAUGCCUUGCAAGCAUGAGGCCCUCCCUGGGUUCGAUUCCUCAGCACCA
Molecule: transfer RNA, 74 nt
Filed under: Dipodomys ordii (Ord's kangaroo rat)
Lineage: Eukaryota; Metazoa; Chordata; Mammalia; Rodentia; Heteromyidae
Rfam family: tRNA
About the family: Transfer RNA (tRNA) molecules are approximately 80 nucleotides in length. Their secondary structure includes four short double-helical elements and three loops (D, anti-codon, and T loops).
Source: Rfam by way of RNAcentral